AUUGAACGCUGGCGGCAUGCUUUACACAUGCAAGUCGAACGGCAGCACGGGCUUCGGCCUGGUGGCGAGUGGCGAACGGGUGAGUAAUGCAUCGGAACGUACCGUGUAAUGGGGGAUAACGUAGCGAAAGUUACGCUAAUACCGCAUACGCCCUGAGGGGGAAAGCGGGGGAUCGUAAGACCUCGCGUUAUACGAGCGGCCGAUGUCGGAUUAGCUAGUUGGUGGGGUAAAGGCCUACCAAGGCGACGAUCCGUAGCGGGUCUGAGAGGAUGAUCCGCCACACUGGAACUGAGACACGGUCCAGACUCCUACGGGAGGCAGCAGUGGGGAAUUUUGGACAAUGGGCGCAAGCCUGAUCCAGCCAUGCCGCGUGAGUGAAGAAGGCC
RNAcentral lists this ribosomal RNA (386 nucleotides) under uncultured bacterium. Its description in RNAcentral is "bacterial SSU rRNA". It matches the Rfam family "Bacterial small subunit ribosomal RNA", at positions 29 to 416 of the family's 1533-position model. The record is from RNAcentral.